Molecule: transfer RNA, 36 nt
Filed under: Lissotriton italicus (South Italian newt)
Lineage: Eukaryota; Metazoa; Chordata; Amphibia; Caudata; Salamandridae
Description: partial tRNA-Trp
Source: RNAcentral
AGACUUAGGAUAACAAGACCAAAGGCCUUCAAAGCC